AUGUCUCCUCCUCCUCUCCUCCCCUGCGGCCCCUCGGCCGCUCCCAGCUCCACCCAGCCCACACCUCCGGCCACCGCGGCCGCCGUCCACUCUCCAGCACCAUCGUCCGCACCAGUUGUCCCGGCCUCCUUCCACGAUCCCAUUCCAUGGCAUGUCUCCCCCACCUCCCGAGCCUUGCGCAUGGCUCUUGGAGUUGGGGACGCCAUGGGUGACGACUUCCAAGCGCAGGUCUGGCGCUGCCUCUCCAAGCACAUCAACCCGCGCCACCACGAGCCACCAUGCUUCCUCUCCGUGCAAGUUCGCCACUCCUCACUCGACAUCGAUGAGGAGCUCGUUGCCGUCCUCAUGCAAGCCUGUCUGGGUGGCAAUGCUCCUACCUUCCAGGUGACUCGCCUCCAAGACGACCUCUUCCGAAUCUCUGUCUCCGACGUGCGCAUCGUUCGCGCUCUCCUCGCCGAGCCCGUGCUCGUCGCCACGACCCACUCGAUCCAGUUUCUGCCUUUUCCUCCGCCUCAACAAACUCAUGACCCACCCACCAACAUCCAAACAACCUUGGACAUCGGCGACCGCUUUGGCCAUGCGGAUGCCUUCCUGCGCUCUCAACUCGGGUUCGUCCCCUCGCCCGUCAUCGAUUUCUCUCGCAACAUCUUCGAUCUGUUCUCCACCAAGGUCUUUUCUUCGCCACAAGACUCCUCCUCGCCCACUAGGAUAAUUUUCUUCGUCCACAAAGCUAACUUCAUGGUUGACGAACCGCUCGUCGCCGUGUUACUCUCAUUCCGUUUUGGUGGAUCUCCGCGAAGCAUUUCCAUCAUGCGCCUAUCCCACGCGGCGUUCACAGCGUCGGUAUCGUCUUACCACGUUGCGUCACUCAUGGCCGCCUGCUCGCCGAUCGUUGCUCCUCGCAUGUUCGCCACGGUCACGGUCGCGCCGCUUGCGAUGCCGGCCCCGCCCCCAUCUCCGGUGGCCUCGCCGCUCCUGCUUGCGGGUGUGCCACCUCAACCUGCUGCCGCUCCGUCACCAGCCUCUCCUCCGUGCAUGGCCUCCAUGCAUGUGGGGCCCGCAACCGCCAACGGUCGUCCGCCUCUUGGGGCUCCUGUGACCUCCCCAACACUUAGCCUCUCGCGUUCACAUGCAAAGGUACGACCGUUCCGUCCUGGGAUCUCGUUUAAUAAGCUGAUUUUUUCUAAGUACCACUGCCUUGUCACCAUGCCCACUACACGCCUCACACAUAAACCAACCACCCCUAUAUGGGUUGUCUUCCACUCUGGCUCGGUUUGCGCUAAUGAAACACUGAUUAAUAAUGCCUUAGACCACCAGUUCUCCUUUAAAUGUGUCUUCCACGCAACCACGCUUGCUCCGAACCUGUUCUUAGUGCAUGUGUUCUCGGUCUUGGUCAGAAGAGAGGUUCUCCGUUGCGCGCCACUAGAGUUUUCAAAUUUCAAAAUCCUGCUCUUUGACUCUUUUGACCAUGCAUCACAAACAGUGCGAUCAGUACCAUUGCCAACUGUGUUCGAACCGGACUCAUUUGACCCGUCCCACAACGUCCGACCUACCCACUGCACGUCCUUGCUUGGACCGCACUCGUUAACUAGAAUAAACACACAAAAUCUAUCCCCUCUGAACCCGGGGAUUCAUCUCACUGUUCUAGGCGAGGAUUCUACUGCAUCGUCCCCGGUUGACCAAAAUCCACUCGAUGGCCUGGGACACGUGGACCUCUCGGCCAGCUUGGCCUCUCCCGUCACGUCUCCCCGAAACCUUUCCAAUGAAAGAAAACAAAAACUAGGUGCGGACUGCGCCGUCCCCUCCCCCUCCCCUCCCAGCCUACCCAGUUCUUUAAACCCUAAAACGCUAGACCAUCCGCCCCCACGCCCUCUAUCCACCACUGACUGCCUGGACCCGCUGCCGUCGCCACAGCCGCCCCCCGGUCGGCUCCCGGGGCUGCUCGAUCUUGCCACCGCCUGCGCUGACCCAAAAGCAUACCCCACUGUCGCUGAUUUGCGGGACCCAUCCUCCCUCACCGCUUGCACCAACCAAUGCUUGCAUGCACACGCAUGCGCCCAUCAUCACGUCUACUCCACCUCCUGCCUCCCCUACCUCCGCCAGCCUACACACCGCCCCGUCCCCUCAGCUUCGUCCCGAGACCGCCAUGGACCAGUGCCACGCUCCUGCCACUCCUACCACCCCUGCGUGCUCUUCGGUCUCCACGCCGCUGCAGACCCCGCGCUCCUACCGGGAGGUUUUGCUCAGCUCCCCAGCUCCGGCCGCUGCAAUCGACCCCCCCAUCCUCUGGCCUCUCCGGCCUAUAAAUCAGCCCCUCCCCGGGCGGCCAGCCCCAAACACAUCCACCACAGAUAUAGCCGAAAGCAAAAACCAAGAUGCUUCCGAUGUCUCGCCAGUGACCACACCAUCUCCGACUGCCGUGAUCCCGUCCGCUGCUCUCGCUGCUGGUGCUCCGGUCAUCGGAGUUUCAGGUGCAAAGCCGUCCGCUUCCUUGCUUUCUUCCCCCUAUGCCCCCUCUCCGCGUAUUAA
RNAcentral lists this ribosomal RNA (2529 nucleotides) under Triticum aestivum (bread wheat). RNAcentral describes it as "partial small subunit ribosomal RNA". Lineage: Eukaryota; Viridiplantae; Streptophyta; Magnoliopsida; Poales; Poaceae. The record is from RNAcentral.